This 85-nucleotide transfer RNA is filed under the name Pseudomonadota bacterium. RNAcentral's name for it is "tRNA-Leu". It matches the Rfam family "tRNA". From Rfam's summary of the family: Transfer RNA (tRNA) molecules are approximately 80 nucleotides in length. Their secondary structure includes four short double-helical elements and three loops (D, anti-codon, and T loops). Lineage: Bacteria; Pseudomonadati; Pseudomonadota. The record is from RNAcentral.
GCGGACGUGGCGGAAUGGUAGACGCAGGGGACUUAAAAUCCCUUGAGCUAAGCUCGUGCGGGUUCGAGUCCCGCCGUCCGCACCA